AAUGGCGUAAAAACUUGUUGGACUCUUACAUAACGGUACGUGAUGCACAAUAUACAUUUUUGAUUUUUCAUAGAAACUAAAAUUAUUAGAAGUAUUCAUUUCAAUGAUUUUUUGUAUCUUUUGUUCUUUUUCUUUUAUCAACUUGUAUCUUUUGUUUUAUAAAUUAAAUAGAAAUAUUUAUUUAAAAGAAACAGUUAUAUAAUUGUUCUUUUUUGAAACAAUUUCAUUAAUAGAAAAGAGUUUUAGUUGGAGGCAUUAACGUCCUCUUCAACUACCAACGACACAACAACAUUCAAAGCAGUUUUAGUCAAACAAUCGGCCAAGACAUUUCUUUCUCGUGGAAUCCACACGAAACAUACAAACUCAAAGUCUUCACCUAGCGUGAGGAUAUCUGAGACGAUGCCAUACAAGCCAGCUCCACUUGCUCCCGAAUUUAGCGCCUUCACCAGGAUCUCUGAAUCUGAUUCAACCUGUAUCGUCUUCAAACCCUUCCGUUGGCACAGAACCCACCCGAGUCCUGCUAUGUUUCGCUGUUCCGCCCACGCUGCAUCUGAUCUGACAACGGCCGUGUUGGGUGGAGAUACCACCUCUGCUUGGGGAUGCUUCCUUUUCUUCUGAUUUUCCAGUUUAUGUCCCUCAUUCCACUCCCUUGCCAGCACAAUAGCUGUUGUAUCUUCAGGAGUUGCUGAGAAGCCUUCGAACACGAAUCGGUUUCUCGCCUUCCACAAAGCCCACAUAAUCCAGGGGAAGAGUGAUCCUGCCAGGAUCCCAGCAGGGGGAAGGCAUUGCUUUCCACACCACGCAACCCAGGUUUGCUACCAAUUCUAUCGUUCCUCUGCACUCCAACUCAUUAAUAAAGGGAGCAAGGCUCCAUACUUUUUGUGCAAAAGGACACUUGUUGGGUAUGGAUUUACAUCCUCCUCAAGGCCCAUUAGACAUUGAACUAGACUCAUAUUGCUAGGAAGCUCUAAGCUUCAUCUUUCUAUAAAUAAGGAGCUACCUACUUAUUAGAAAGGAUCUUCUCCUCUUCUUAGACUUUAAGAACAUAUUUUCAUAGAGAUUUUGUAUUCUAAGGUUCACUUUACCGUUGUAAUCAUCUUGGUGAUGAACCUUCAAUCAAUGAAAUCUCUUUUAUAUUCUUUUUCACAUUUGAUUUCAUCUAAAGAUUUCUCCUAAGCCUCAAGAAUCUAAUUCUUAUUCUUAGAUUCUUUUAUUGUAUUGAUUCAACAAACAUCACCAGCAUAAACACCUUUUUUGGAUCAAACAGUUGGCGCUAGAAGGAGAGGGCCAAAGAGAACAAUCUUCGUAGCAUGUCAAACUUGGAAAAACCCGAGAUCUAGAGUAAAAAAAAAAGUUUCUCAUGAAAGCUUGGCCCACCAAAGAGCCCAAGAUUCUGAUCAUCUUCCCGUCUCGUCAAGGUGAGAACUGGUCGUGAUGAUCCGAUGAUUCAGAUCUGGGCAUCUCGUCUUCAUGGAUGACGAACUCGUCAAUUCGCUUCUCCACCACCACGUCGAGUUCAAUCACAUGCCGAACUCACCUCGAUCCAUCGGUGACUGCUCGAGCUUCUUUCCAGUCCGUGAAGAAAGUAAUGGGUCAAUCUCAUUUCAGCCAUCUCCGCCGUCGUUAGCCAUCGCCGAAGAACAGAAACCACGGUGGUCUCUGGAUAAAGAAAGAAGCUCUCUUGCGAAAUACCCACCAAAGUUCGAAAAUUUAUUCCAAAGCAUCACUAUCUUGCCGUCUAUUCCGCAUUUGUAAUCAACCGAUCUCUCCUCUCUCUGGAACCGAUCUUCGAGCCCUCCAUCUUCUGAGGAAGCAAGAAACCAAUCUCUCCCAUCUCUGAAACCAAACUCUAUCGAUCUCAGACAUGAAGUCCGCUCCUUUCCAACAUAUGUCAUUAAACUGACAGAUCCAGAACGCGUUACUGUCGCCACAUAAAACCGAAAGUCUCAGUCUUUGCCGGAGAGUGGAUCAGAAGUUGAUGAGGAGGAAGACAAUUCAGUGGAAGCCGAGGUCAGAUAAAGUUUAUGUUCUCCAUCUUCUUGUAUGGUCAGAUGAGCAACCACUUGAUCUUCCUUGAGAAAUACAUGUUCUUCACUGCGUUGUUGGAUCGAGUUCUUGCCUAGUCGGAUGAGAAACCACUUUGCCCAUCCCUUCGAUCUCGAAGCUGCUGUUCAGAAACGAGACAUGGCAAAGACUCGAUCUCUUACUGGACGCGACCUUAACAAACCAAGUCUCUUCAAAGGCAUCGAUCUCCCAAGAAUCAACUUUGUUUCGAAUCGCUGCUUCAGAAAGCUCAAAAAUUUAUCUCGUCACAAGCUCUCCUUCUCGAUCCAUAGAUAUCGUCACCUCAUCCUUUCUCUUGUGAAGAUUACAACGAAGCUCAAGGCUUGUUCCCGGAAAAGAUCAAAACGAUCCAUUGAGGCAGAGCUCACCACCAGAAGGCUGCUUGAGAGAUGUUGGAUCCUGCAGAGAUGAGGAUGUGACGGUGGCUUGUCGACUUGAAGGCUCAGUCUUUCACGCUCCAUCAGUGGCAACGAGCUCAUCAUGAGAUCAUCUCAAAACAAUCCUUCUUCAGCGACUAGCAACUACUUGUCCUCAAAGAUAAGUGUUCUAUAAUCUUGAUUGCUUUAUUGCUUGCAACCUAUGCAUACUGUUUAGUUAUAAAUAAAUCACUAACAUCAUAUGCAAGAGCUGAGCAAUUAUCUGAUCAUCAUCAUUGCUUGCUUAUCAAUUACACAAAACUUUGAUUAUCUCUUUUGGAUAAACUUGAUCUGAUAAUCAUCAUAUUUUUCUUUGUGAGCCAGAAUCAAUUGCGAGGCAGACAUACGACAAGCUCAGACUCUAGUACAAGCUCUAGCUGACGUGAUCACAGUCCGCACAACUCCUGCUGACUUCAUCAUCGCCAAUCACGAGCUCACCACAAACCUCGCAACUCCACAGCGCGUUCAUCAACGUUAUCCUAGCCUGACAAGCAUACACGCCAACAACUUGCUCGGCACACACGAUCUCAACACGAGACUUCGGGUCAGAAAUAGUUCGGUAAAUAUGUAUUUUAGGCACGAGUUUAAAUUGAACUUGCUUUUUAUUAGGCACGAGUUUGCGGUAGACUCGCUUAUUGUUAGACAUGAGUUUACAAAAACUCGCCCUUGGCUAGGCAUGAGUUUACAGAAACUCUCCUUUUACUAGGCACGAGUUCUCAAUAAACUCGCCUCUCUCUCGGCAUGAGUCCAGUAAACUCGUCUUUCACUAAGCACGAGUUUAAAGCAAACUCGUCUUUUACUAGGCACAAGUUCAAUGUAAACUUGCCUAAAUCGUCAUAGGCAUGAAUGCACUAGUUCAUUGUCUCAUAAACCCGUUGGGGGUGGAUUUACAUCCUCCCUCAAGGCCCAUCAGACAAUGAAUUAAGCCCACUUCAUUAUGAAACCCUAGACAUCUUUCAUCUAUAAAUAAGGAACUAUCUCCUUAUGAGAAAGAUUCUCUUCUUCCAUUUUAGACCUAGAACACUUCUUACAAAGAGUUUAUGGAUUCUUAGAUUUACUUUACACUUGUAAUCAUACAUGUAAUACAAUCUUUGAUCAAUAAAUUCUUUUUGAUGUUCA
Brassica napus (rape) is the source of this 3599-nucleotide long non-coding RNA. RefSeq lists it as uncharacterized. Lineage: Eukaryota; Viridiplantae; Streptophyta; Magnoliopsida; Brassicales; Brassicaceae. The record is from RefSeq and is a predicted model, not a curated record. The transcript is spliced from 2 exons.